GGAACUAUAGCUCAGAGGUAGAGUGCCUGCUUGACAUGUACAAGGUCCUGGAUUCAAUCCUCAGUGCCUCCA
Molecule: transfer RNA, 72 nt
Filed under: Camelus bactrianus (Bactrian camel)
Lineage: Eukaryota; Metazoa; Chordata; Mammalia; Artiodactyla; Camelidae
Also listed under: 2 other names
Rfam family: tRNA
About the family: Transfer RNA (tRNA) molecules are approximately 80 nucleotides in length. Their secondary structure includes four short double-helical elements and three loops (D, anti-codon, and T loops).
Source: Rfam by way of RNAcentral